GCGCUGGUGGUGAAACUGGUAGACACGCUAUCUUGAGGGGGUAGUGCCAAUAGGUGUGCGAGUUCAAAUCUCGCUCAGCGCACCA
This 85-nucleotide transfer RNA is filed under the name Campylobacterales bacterium. RNAcentral describes it as "tRNA-Leu". It matches the Rfam family "tRNA". Rfam says of the family: Transfer RNA (tRNA) molecules are approximately 80 nucleotides in length. Their secondary structure includes four short double-helical elements and three loops (D, anti-codon, and T loops). Lineage: Bacteria; Pseudomonadati; Campylobacterota; Epsilonproteobacteria; Campylobacterales. The record is from RNAcentral.